This 590-nucleotide ribosomal RNA is filed under the name uncultured bacterium. RNAcentral's name for it is "partial 16S ribosomal RNA". It matches the Rfam family "Bacterial small subunit ribosomal RNA", at positions 355 to 932 of the family's 1533-position model. The record is from RNAcentral.
UGGGGAAUUUUGGACAAUGGGCGAAAGCCUGAUCCAGCAAUGCCGCGUGUGUGAAGAAGGCCUUCGGGUUGUAAAGCACUUUUGUCCGGAAAGAAAUCCUUGGCUCUAAUACAGUCGGGGGAUGACGGUACCGGAAGAAUAAGCACCGGCUAACUACGUGCCAGCAGCCGCGGUAAUACGUAGGGUGCAAGCGUUAAUCGGAAUUACUGGGCGUAAAGCGUGCGCAGGCGGUUUGCUAAGACCGAUGUGAAAUCCCCGGGCUCAACCUGGGAACUGCAUUGGUGACUGGCAGGCUAGAGUAUGGCAGAGGGGGGUAGAAUUCCACGUGUAGCAGUGAAAUGCGUAGAGAUGUGGAGGAAUACCGAUGGCGAAGGCAGCCCCCUGGGCCAAGUACUGACGCUCAUGCACGAAAAGCGUGGGGAGCAAACAGGAUUAGAUACCCUGGUAGUCCACGCCCUAAAACGAUGUCAACUAGUUGUUGGGGAAUUCAUUUUCCUUAGUAACGUAGCUAACGCGUGAAGUUGACCGCCUGGGGAGUAACGGUCGCAAGAUUAAAAACUCAAAUAAUUGACGGGGUCAUGCUGUUUCCU